GGCUCAGAACGAACGCUGGCGGCGUGGAUAAGACAUGCAAGUCGAGCGAUCGUUAACGGGUAGCAAUAUUCGUUAACGGGAGCGGCGCAAGGGUGCGUAACACGUGGGUAAUCUGCCAUGAAGUUUGGGAUAAUCCCGCGAAAGCGGGACUAAUACCGGAUGUGACAACUGGGAGGCAUCUUUUGGUUGUUAAAGUUGGGGACCGUAAGGCCUGACGCUUCAUGAUGAGCCCGCGGCCUAUCAGCUAGUUGGUGAGGUAACGGCUCACCAAGGCUAAGACGGGUAGCUGGUCUGAGAGGACGACCAGCCACACUGGAACUGAGACACGGUCCAGACACCUACGGGUGGCAGCAGUCGAGAAUUUUUCACAAUGGGCGCAAGCCUGAUGGAGCGACGCCGCGUGGGGGAUGAAUGGCUUCGGCCCGUAAACCCCUGUCAUUUGCGAUCAAACCUCGUUAUUUAAAAGAUGACGAGCUGAUGGUAGCGAAAGAGGAAGGGACGGCUAACUCUGUGCCAGCAGCCGCGGUAAUACAGAGGUCCCAAGCGUUGUUCGGAUUCACUGGGCGUAAAGGGUGCGUAGGUGGUGGGGUAAGUCGGAUGUGAAAGCUCGGAGCUCAACUCCGAAAUGGCAUUGGAAACUACCCUGCUAGAGGAUUGGAGGGGGGACUGGAAUACUUGGUGUAGCAGUGAAAUGCGUAGAUAUCAAGUGGAACACCAGUGGCGAAGGCGAGUCCCUGGACAAUUCCUGACACUGAGGCACGAAAGCUAGGGGAGCAAACAGGAUUAGAUACCCUGGUAGUCCUAGCCGUAAACGGUGCACGUUUGCUGUAAAAGGAAUCGACCCCUUUUGUGGCGUAGCUAACGCGUUAAACG
Molecule: ribosomal RNA, 873 nt
Filed under: uncultured bacterium
Lineage: Bacteria
Description: bacterial SSU rRNA
Rfam family: Bacterial small subunit ribosomal RNA
Source: RNAcentral